CCUACGGGAGGCAGCAGUAGGGAAUUUUCGGCAAUGGGGGAAACCCUGACCGAGCAAUGCCGCGUGAGUGAAGACGGCCUUCGGGUUGUAAAGCUCUGUUGUAAGGGAAGAACGGCAUAGAGAGGGAAUGCUCUAUGAGUGACGGUACCUUACCAGAAAGCCACGGCUAACUACGUGCCAGCAGCCGCGGUAAUACGUAGGUGGCAAGCGUUAUCCGGAAUUAUUGGGCGUAAAGGGUGCGUAGGCGGCGAGAUAAGUCUGAGGUAAAAGCCCGUGGCUCAACCACGGUAAGCCUUGGAAACUGUCUGGCUGGAGUGCAGGAGAGGACAAUGGAAUUCCAUGUGUAGCGGUAAAAUGCGUAGAUAUAUGGAGGAACACCAGUGGCGAAGGCGGUUGUCUGGCCUGUAACUGACGCUGAAGCACGAAAGCGUGGGGAGCAAAUAGGAUUAGAUACCCUAGUAGUC
RNAcentral lists this ribosomal RNA (464 nucleotides) under Dielma fastidiosa. RNAcentral describes it as "bacterial SSU rRNA". It matches the Rfam family "Bacterial small subunit ribosomal RNA", at positions 338 to 795 of the family's 1533-position model. Lineage: Bacteria; Bacillati; Bacillota; Erysipelotrichia; Erysipelotrichales; Erysipelotrichaceae. The record is from RNAcentral.